Molecule: ribosomal RNA, 301 nt
Filed under: uncultured bacterium
Lineage: Bacteria
Description: partial 16S ribosomal RNA
Rfam family: Bacterial small subunit ribosomal RNA
Source: RNAcentral
CAGUCGCCGCGGGAAUACGUAGGGUGCGAGCGUUAAUCGGAAUUAUUGGGCGUAAAGGGCUCGCAGGCGGUUUCUUAAGUCUGAUGUGAAAGCCCCCGGCUCAACCGGGGAGGGUCAUUGGAAACUGGGAAACUUGAGUGCAGAAGAGGAGAGUGGAAUUCCACGUGUAGCGGUGAAAUGCGUAGAGAUGUGGAGGAACACCAGUGGCGAAGGCGACUCUCUGGUCUGUAACUGACGCUGAGGAGCGAAAGCGUGGGGAGCGAACAGGAUUAGAUACCCCUGUAGUCCCUGUCUCUUAUAC